RNAcentral lists this transfer RNA (72 nucleotides) under Ovis aries (sheep). It matches the Rfam family "tRNA". Rfam says of the family: Transfer RNA (tRNA) molecules are approximately 80 nucleotides in length. The record is from Rfam by way of RNAcentral. Lineage: Eukaryota; Metazoa; Chordata; Mammalia; Artiodactyla; Bovidae.
UCCCUGGUGGCUCAGAUGCUAAAGAAUCCACCUGCCAUGUAGGAGACCCAGGUUCAAUCCCUGGUUUGGGAA